Molecule: RNA transcript, 1164 nt
Organism: Rhododendron vialii
Lineage: Eukaryota; Viridiplantae; Streptophyta; Magnoliopsida; Ericales; Ericaceae
Gene name: eukaryotic initiation factor 4A-7
Exons: 9
Source: RefSeq, a predicted model, not a curated record
CGUACAGGACCGCUCCAGCAAAACUGCGGCGUUACACCGAAGAGGCGAAGAGAGAAAACCCAAAAAAAGAGAGAGAGACGGAUCAAAAAAGAGAGAGAGAGAGAGAGAGAGAAGCUUCUCUGGCUCUGUCAGACCCCAUGGCGACAGAUUUGGUCGAAGCCCCUUCGCCUACAUCUCAAUCGCCUUCCCAUUACAGCCAACUACGGCACUUCUACCUCGCAGUCGACCGAUUCCAGUUCAAAAUGGAGACGUUGGUGGAUCUGCUGGGAAUGGCGGGCCGCCGCCCAUGCCUGCCGAUGGUGGUGUGCUGCAGCACACGCGACGAGCUCGACGCGGUCUGCUUCGCUGUCUCCAACCUUUCCCACAUUUCCAUGGACUCUUUGUACAGUGAUCUAGCUGAAGCAGAACGUGCAUCGAUUCUAGAGAAAUUUUGGCAAGCAACAACGAGGUGGAAUCAAAUUGCUUCUUGUCUUUCUGGGGAUGACAAUGAGAUCGAGAAGGAAGAGAAGUCUCACUUGGUAGUCGUAACAGAUGCUUGCCUUCCACUUCUCGCGUCAGGGGAAUCACCUAUUGCUGCUCGGGUUUUGAUAAAUUAUGAGUUACCAGCAAAGAAGGAAACCUAUAUGAGGCGCAUGGCAACUUGUUUGGCAGCAGAUGGGAUUGUCAUUACCAUGGUUGUCGGGGGUGAGGUUGUAACUUUGAAAAGCAUUGAAGAAAGCAGCUGCCUUGUCAUAGCCGAGAUGCCCAUAAAUAUCUUCGAAAUGUUGUGAUUAUAUAGACCUCUUGGAGUGCAAAAGAUACAUUGGAGGAUUCUUUCCGAUGUGCAAGGUACGUUAAUAGGUGGAAAUUUCUUUUGGUUACAUGAUGCUUCAUAGGCGUGAAUCAAACCAAAAGCCGAUGAUCGGUAUGAUCUGAGUCGGCUUCCUUCAUAACUUGGCGUGCCUUCCACCACCUGAACCAGAUCCGAAGGCUCUGGAGAGCCUCUUUAAGCUCUUCACGGCUAAUACGACCGUCGUGGUCUUCAUCAAACUGGCGGAGCCACGCUUUGAAUUCGUCCACUGUCAUCUCCUCGCUGGGCUGCACCUUAAAGCAACACAUAAUAGCCAUCUCUCUCUCUCUCUCUCUCUCUCUCUCUCUCUCUCUCUCUCUUACACACACACACAC